This 425-nucleotide ribosomal RNA is filed under the name uncultured bacterium. RNAcentral describes it as "partial 16S ribosomal RNA". It matches the Rfam family "Bacterial small subunit ribosomal RNA", at positions 354 to 796 of the family's 1533-position model. The record is from RNAcentral.
GUGGGGAAUCUUGCGCAAUGGGCGAAAGCCUGACGCAGCCAUGCCGCGUGGAUGAUGAAGGUCUUAGGAUUGUAAAAUCCUUUCACCGGUGAAGAUAAUGACUGUAGCCGGAGAAGAAGCCCCGGCUAACUUCGUGCCAGCAGCCGCGGUAAUACGAAGGGGGCUAGCGUUGCUCGGAUUUACUGGGCGUAAAGGGCGCGUAGGCGGACAUUUAAGUCAGGGGUGAAAUCCCGGGGCUCAACCUCGGAACUGCCUUUGAUACUGGGUGUCUUGAGUAUGAGAGAGGUGUGUGGAAAUCCGAGUGUAGAGGUGAAAUUCGUAGAUAUUCGGAAGAACACCAGUGGCGAAGGCGACUCACUGGCCCAAUACUGACGCUGAGGCGCGAAAGCGUGGGGAGCAAACAGGAUUAGAAACCCCUGUAGUCC